This 80-nucleotide ribosomal RNA is filed under the name Escherichia coli. RNAcentral's name for it is "partial 23S ribosomal RNA". The record is from RNAcentral. Lineage: Bacteria; Pseudomonadati; Pseudomonadota; Gammaproteobacteria; Enterobacterales; Enterobacteriaceae.
AGGCCGGGUGUGUAAGCGCAGUGAUGCGUUGAGCUAACCGGUACUAAUGAACCGUGAGGCUUAACCUUACAACGCCGAAG